Molecule: ribosomal RNA, 22 nt
Filed under: Tor khudree (Deccan mahseer)
Lineage: Eukaryota; Metazoa; Chordata; Actinopteri; Cypriniformes; Cyprinidae
Description: partial 18S ribosomal RNA
Source: RNAcentral
CACUUUGCGGCCCCGGGUUCCU